This 497-nucleotide ribosomal RNA is filed under the name uncultured bacterium. RNAcentral's name for it is "partial 16S ribosomal RNA". It matches the Rfam family "Bacterial small subunit ribosomal RNA", at positions 28 to 507 of the family's 1533-position model. The record is from RNAcentral.
GAUGAACGCUGGCGGCGUGCCUAAUACAUGCAAGUCGAACGAAGGAACGAGAAGCUUGCUUCUCUGGUGUUAGCGGCGAACGGGUGAGUAACACGUGGAUAACCUACCUAUAAGACUGGGAUAACUUCGGGAAACCGUAGCUAAUACCGGAUAAUAGUUUGAACCGCAUGGUUCAAAAGUGAAAGACGGUCUUGCUGUCACUUAUAGAUGGAUCCGCUUUGCAUUAGCUGGUUGGUAAGGUAACGGCCUACCAAGGCAACGAUGCAUAGCCACCCUGAGAGGGGGUUCGGCCACCCUGGACCUGGGCCCCGCUCAGGCCCCUUCCGGGAGGAACCAGAAGGGAAUCUUCCGCAUUGAGCGAAAUCCUGACGGACCAACGCCGCGUGAGUGAUGAAGGUCUUCGGAUCGUAAGACUCUGUUAUUAGGGAAGAACAUAUGUGUAAGUAAAUGUGCACAUCUUGACGGUACCUAAUCAGAAAGCCACGGCUAACUACGUG